CCGAGCCGCACAGCCUCUCGGGCGGUGUAGUCCACCCCUCCCCGCAGCCCUGCGCCGGAGGCUAUUCUGCUCUUCCUGUCUGUGCUGGCUCAUGCUCAGUCUCACGUCUCUACUUUUUGUUCUUAACUGAUCUGAACCCGGCAAAGGUGGCAACACAGUGGUAUGCAGUCAGGAAGGAGUGGUCCUAGAAGUCCUCAAGAUUGACCCCAUACACCAUGGAGUGUCAUGCAACACGUCAUGGGUGAGGUUCGAUUCUGUCGUCUCCAUUUUGCUCUUCGGUUUUUGAACCAAACCUGUAAAUAGAAAACAGAAUGAGAUUUGCUGCAUUACUAACAGGAGCUAGACGGCAACAACACCCUGCACUUCACUGUCAAGAGGCAACCGACUUGAGGAGCAACUCAGACACCUGAUCUUGGAGGCAAAUGUUACCCUGCGCGUUGUGCUGUUGAGAUAAGCAAACCUAUCCUGUCACAACUGAGCUCUGCCUCAAGGACCAUAUCAUAACUUCAAUUCCCUGUCACAGCCAGACAGCUGCGGGACAUCUGACGGGCAAUGAUCAGGUAGAAAGCACACCUGUGAUCAACUAAUGAUGUCGGGUGCACCAUGAAUCGAAACCCUUCUUCCCUCACCACUUUAUGAGCCACACAUUUAAUUCUCUAAUCUGCUUAACCCUAUGCCAGUUGGCACAUGGUUCAGGUAACAAUCCAGAGAUGAUUAUCCUUGAUGCUCUGCAUUUUAAAUUGGACUUUAACUCCAUAAACUCUCCCAACAGAACAUUAUUCCUGCUUCUACCUAUGUUGUUUUCCUACAGGGAACAUGAAAGCUGGGUCCUCUCCCUCUUACAUCAUGUUCAUCUCUAGCCACGAAGAUAUAUCCUUAACCUUGGCACCAGGCAGGAGAAAGAAACUUCUGAACCCUUAGUCCUGGUUGCAGAGAACAGGAUCUAUCCCUCUGACUGUACUGUCCACUAUCACUACCACAUUCCUCUUCGCUCCUCCCAAGUAAAUGGCAUCCUUUACCAUGGUGUCAUGCUCAGUUUGCUCAUUCAUCCUACUGUUCUUGUUCUCACCUAAUCAGGUAGCAAAUACAUCGUACUUGUUGGUCAAAGGCAAGGGCGUUCUCAAGGGCAAUUAGGGAUGGACAAUGAAUGCUGACCCAGGUAAUGUCCACAUCCCAUGAAAAAAAUCAGAUGGGUAAAUGUAAUCGGAUUAAUCAGAGUAAGCAGAUAGUGGAGUUCUAAUGAAUGGCCAUGAUCUGAAAUGUUAACUCUGCUUCUCUCUCCACUGAUGUUGCCAGAUCAGCAGAGUAUUUCUAGCAUUUUCUGUUUAUUAUAUGAGCAGAUAGUGUUCUGUGUGAAUUAGAAAUUCCUAAUAUCAAUCCUGAAACUACCUUUCACCACCUUGAACCUGUGGUCUUUUGUACUAUCACAAUUUACAUUUGAUUUCUGGCUAUGUGUUAGAUAUAUAUUCAGUGGUUAUCACUCAUCUGUGGGUCAGAAGUCAUUGGUCCAAAACCCACUUCAGAGUCUUGAGCGUAUAAUUUAGGCUGACACCCCAGUGCCUGCUGAGAGAGUGCUGUAUUUCAGAGAUGCUGUCAUUCAGAUAAACGAUUAAGCUGAGGCUCUGUCUGACUUUUCGAGUGAGUAUAAAAAAUCCCAUGGCAUUAUUUCGAAGAAGAGCAGGAGUCCUGGCCAUAUUAACCCCUCAAUUAACAUUAUCACAUUGCUGUUGAUGGGAGCUUACUGUCCACAAAUAAACUGCUCCAUUUCAUACAUUGCAACAGUGAUGACACUUCAGCCAAUGAAGUAUUUUUUGAAAAAAAUACUUUCAGAUGACUUAAGAAUAUAAAAGACACAUAAAAAUGCAAAUCUUCCAUUCUUUCUUGAGCAAGGAUCAGGAGUAAGGGAUCAGAGGACAUAUCCGGGGGCUGGACUAAUGGUGGAGAAAUGAGGGGUCAGGAGGAAGAUCUCAGGAGUGAAGUUGGAAGAGCGAGGGUUCAGGGAAGAGGUCAGGAGGGAGCAUGCAGGAGGGAAGGGUCAGGAGGGAGGGGGGUCAGUGAUUCCUCCCGACCCCUACCUCCACUCUCUCCUCCCGCAGUUGCACUUGUUUGGCCAGCUGCUCCCGGCUCACCACAUCCGGAUACUGAUUGCAUUGGAAGAACUCCUCCAGGGCUGCUAGCUGCUCCUCAGUGAAGAUGGUUCGAUGACGUCUAGUGCGCUUGUAGAGCUGAUGGGAUUCAUGCAGCUCCCCCAUUGGCCCAGCUACCUGCAAGAGAGGUGGGCCCAGCGUCUGAACCCAGUGAGAGCCACACGCUGACCCAAAGUUAAUGUCAAUGCUAUUGAAUGCGGGAGAGGCCCAACGGUCAGUGACAAAGUAACAAGUGUGGGCCACUCCAGCCCUCAGACCAUUCCAUUGUUCAUGGUUGAUCUGUAUCUCAGCUUCAUCUAAUUGCCUUGUUCCCAUAGCUCUUAACACCCUUGCCUAACAAAAAUAUAACAAUCUCAAAAUUAAAAUUUUCAAUAGAUACCCAGCCUAAACUGCUCUUUGUGAGAGAAUUCCUGAUUUCCAAGACCCUUUAUGUGAAGAAAUGCUCCCUGAUAUCAGUCCUGAAUGGCCUGGUUCUAAUUUUAAGGUUCUCCCCCCUUGUUCUGGACACUCCCACCAAAGGAAAUAGUAUCUCUGUAUGUGCUCUAUCAAAUCUUUUAAUCAUCUUAAGCACCUCAAUCAGAUCGCCCAUUAACCUUCUAACUUCAAGGGAAUACAAACUUGGUGUAUGCAGCCCAUCUCCACAGUUUAAUCCCAGUUAGGUUCUGGUGAAUCUACACUGCACUCUCUCCAAGGCCAAUAUAUCCUUCCUGAGGUUCAGGGCUCACAGCUGAACAUGGAACUCCAGGUGUGGACUAAACCAGAGUGCGAUACAACUGAAGCAUAACAUCCAUCCCUUUGUAUUGCAGCCCUCCUGAAAUAAAAGCUAUUAUUCCAUUA
Long non-coding RNA from Carcharodon carcharias (great white shark), 2984 nucleotides. RefSeq lists it as uncharacterized. NCBI's taxonomy places the organism in Eukaryota, Metazoa, Chordata, Chondrichthyes, Lamniformes, Lamnidae. The transcript is spliced from 3 exons. The record is from RefSeq and is a predicted model, not a curated record.